GACGAACGCUGGCGGCGUGCUUAACACAUGCAAGUCGAACGGAAAGGCCCUGCUUUUGUGGGGUGCUCGAGUGGCGAACGGGUGAGUAACACGUGAGUAACCUGCCCUUGACUUUGGGAUAACGUCAGGAAACUGGGGCUAAUACCGGAUAGGAGCUCCUGCUGCAUGGUGGGGGUUGGAAAGUUUCGGCGGUUGGGGAUGGACUCGCGGCUUAUCAGCUUGUUGGUGGGGUAGUGGCUUACCAAGGCUUUGACGGGUAGCCGGCCUGAGAGGGUGACCGGCCACAUUGGGACUGAGAUACGGCCCAGACUCCUACGGGAGGCAGCAGUGGGGAAUAUUGCACGAUGGGCGGAAGCCUGAUGCAGCAACGCCGCGUGAGGGAUGACGGCCUUCGGGUUGUAAACCGUUUUCGCCUGUGACGAAGCGUGAGUGACGGUAAUGGGUAAAGAAGCACCGGCUAACUACGUG
Molecule: ribosomal RNA, 468 nt
Filed under: uncultured bacterium
Lineage: Bacteria
Description: partial 16S ribosomal RNA
Rfam family: Bacterial small subunit ribosomal RNA
Source: RNAcentral